Long non-coding RNA from Corapipo altera (White-ruffed manakin), 246 nucleotides. RefSeq lists it as uncharacterized. The transcript has 3 exons. The record is from RefSeq and is a predicted model, not a curated record. NCBI's taxonomy places the organism in Eukaryota, Metazoa, Chordata, Aves, Passeriformes, Pipridae.
UGGGGAAGGACAGGAGCAGGGCUGAAGAGUACCUGCGUCAGGGCCUGAGCUACCUCAAGGACCCUGAGCCCAGUGUGCGAGAGGCGGCCAUCAGGUUCAUCGGGGUGGCCACGCGGCACCUGAGGAACCGAAGCAAAGAGCAGCUGGAUGAGAUCUGCAGUGCCCUUCAGCCCUUGAAGACAGACAGCAAUGUAGUCAUCUCUUCCCUGGCAGAACAGACCAUCAGCAUCCUGGAGGCUUUAGGAC